CAUGGUGACCCCCAGCUCAUUAUGGUAACCCCCAUCCCAUCAUGGUGGCCCCCAGCUCAUCACAGAGAUCCUGGCUGUAUACUGAGGCUGUGCCACCAGGAGUACCUGUCACUCCCAGUAAAUCCUGGGGUGCCAGGAAAAGCCUCUUCCCAAGUUCCCAUGCGGUGGCAUGCAGCAGAGCAGUGGUGCCCUCCCCACCCCCAUGGCUUGCGGCUGCUCCAGAAGAUGCAUUUGACCCAGACUUGCACGGCCGUUGCCAUGGCAACGGCUGCGGGAUGCGAGAUGCGGGUGACUGCGGGUGCAGGGAUGCACGGUGAUGGGCCCUGUGUUGCUGCUGGUGUGCCCCAUGACUGGGUUGCACCCAGGUCUGUCUUCACCCCAGGUCUGGAUUCACCUCAUUCCCAGUCCACAGUGCACCAGCAUGUUCAUGCUGCAUUGCACAUGUGUGUGCAAGCACGGACAUGAGCACUGGUGGGGAUGACAGUGCUAAGGGGAGCAGCACGGCAGGGAGAGGCGGGGCAGCUGGAGACGGAGCCACUCACCCCUUUAUCAGGGCUGGGCUGCCAUAAAGCCAGCGCUGUUUGCAUUGGUGGGGCUGCGCUGGCGUUACUGGCCCGACUCUGCUUUGUCUCCGUGUUAACUUUUAA
Pezoporus flaviventris is the source of this 647-nucleotide long non-coding RNA. RefSeq lists it as uncharacterized. NCBI's taxonomy places the organism in Eukaryota, Metazoa, Chordata, Aves, Psittaciformes, Psittacidae. The transcript is spliced from 3 exons. The record is from RefSeq and is a predicted model, not a curated record.